AACCUUCUAGAGUGCCAGAUGCCCCGUGAGCCAGGCCUCUGCUGACUCCUCCUCCUAGGCUCAUGGGGCUGCCCUGCCUGGCAUCAGAGGAGGUUGCAGCAAUGCUCUCGAGGAGGAAAGGGAGGGGGUGGGAGUGGGAGUGGUCCAUGCCCGGUCCUCAGGACACACAGCCUUCCAGGAAUUCUCCCAGGUGUGGGCGAGCCCAAGUGGCACAAUCGCUCACUGUGCUUUGACGUAAAAACCACAGAGCUCACCCAUGCCCAGGAAUGAGUCAUCGGUUCCCACAUACAUUUCUGCAUGACAUUUUUCUCCAAUACACGGAACUCUGACCACCUCUGACACUGCUUCUGACGCUUUGAAACGCCAUGUCCCAUUGCGCCUCUGUUCCAAAGAUCAGAGCGGGGCAGCUGGGGAAACCCAGGGCUGAGGGGCCGGUCCUGACAACUCGGCCACCUGCGGCGUCCCGGGCUCGGUCAGGGCCCUCACCGCCUGGAGACAGAGCCGGGAGGGCAAGGCUCAGGCUGCUGCGUCUCGGCUCUGAGGCUCUGCAUAGAUUCCAUUUGGGAAGAGGCUCUGUGCCACAAAUAGAAGAGGACGGCUCCUGGGCCAGAUCGUCCCUAAGACCCACGCUGGCUCCCCGCUCCUGGGGCUCACUCAUUCACUCCACAAAUGUCACUCGGAUGCCAGGAGCUCGGCCAGGCACGGAGGAUCCAGUGGUGAAUAAAAGUUAUGGUCUCUGUCCUCUUGGAUGUCAAAACCAACAUAAAAGACAAAAAGCAAGAAAACAACGAAUAAAAUAAUUGCACGCUCUGCUGGGUACCAUGAAGGGAAUCAACACGGCCUUGAGAUCCAGAGUAACCUGAGGGCUUCUCUAAGGAGAAGGCUAAGCUGAGCCCUGGAGGAUGAAAAUGAACCAGACUUGUCAAGAACCAGAGGAAGAGCAUUCCAGGUGUAGGGAACUGUAAGCGCAAAGGCCCUGGGGCAGGAAAGAGGUUAACUUCCACUGUGCCUGUGGCAGAGGGAGGGAGAAGCAGCCCUAAGGACUGAGUUUAUUCUGAGUGCAAAGUCAUUGAAGAGUUUUAAGCAAGGAUGAGACAUUAACUGUUUACAUUUAAAAGUUGGCUUUUCUGCCUAGAGGAGAAUGCCUUGCAAGGGGUGAGGAGAUCCAUUAGGAAGCUGCUGCAGGAGGGAAAGACAUUGGGGCGGGGUGGCUGGGGAGAGAGGAGAGUGGACGUGUGAGCCAGAGCUGGUUGGGUUUGCCGAAGGACUGCUUGGUGGGGCAGGGGUGAGAAUCAGAUGUCCUGAAGGGGUGAAGCAGACCCCGUGUGCCCACCUGGAUGGGUGCCCAUUCCUCCACCCUCAGCCCCUGGAGUACUUCUCUGUGCUCUGUGCCACCAGCCAUGCUGGUUUCUCUGUGUUCGACACUCAGAGCUCCUUCCUGCCUGGGGACCGUCCCUCUGCCUGGGACCCUGCCCUCUUACCCAACGUGGUUGGUAACUUCUUGUCCUUUUGAGCUCAGCUCAGCCAUCUGCUCCCCUAGCCAGCCAGCCUUCAACAUCCACCCUGUACCCCUACCCAGCCACCUCCCCCCUCCAAGGCACUCUGUCGCAUCGCCCUAUUUUACGUUCUUUCCUUUCGCUUUCUGAGAGGACCUUGUCCAUCUGUCUGCUUCUUUUCCCGUCUGCCUCCGCUAGAACGUGGGUCGCGAGGGCGGCGGUGCCCGGUCCGUCUCCUUCGGCUCCUCCCACGGGCAGGGGUGGGUGGGCGAGGCCCUGCAGCGCUACAUCUGCCCACAAGAGGGCGCACGGAACUUUCCUUUUCAGUUUCUGGCUGGAAAAGCUGGGGAGCAAAACAAAUAGAAGCCUGGUUGAAAUUUCGCAGUUUACCUGGUAUGUGUAGUAUUUGCACAUACUGUCAUGUUUCGUGGUCUUUUAUGUCCCUGAGACUUGAAAAGUGUCUUUCUGUGGGACUUUGAGAAGUCACCUUGGGACGGGGUGGGGGGACUGACGAGGACGCUGUCUCCCUCCCACGCCUCUUCCCCCUCUGCUGUGCUUACACCGACUUGUGCUCGAGAGAACCUGUGCUUACGUCUCCAGCGACUGCAGCCAGAGACGGAUGGUCUUCAGACACAUGGGACAUAAAUGGACAUUUCCUUGAUCAAAAGUCUGCAUUUGGCAAUGCCCAAGAGGCUUCCCAGUCAACUGGGUAACUCUAAGAAGAUGUCAGUCCAGCGUUGGAGGCUGGGGAGGGCCUAACGUAACACGGGAGCAGAACGUGCUGGUUGGUUACGAUCGUUGCUGUAACGGGGGUGGCUGUGGAGGAGAGCAAGUCCUAGGCCGCCUCAGAGGCGUGCGUGUGAGCCCCGUUUUGAAGCCUAGUUCUGUCCAUUUCUAGCUGAAUGAUGAUGGCCCUGAGCCUGUCUCCCCUGUGAGGAUGACAGAGCUCUGUGGACAUGAAAGGUGCAGGUGAUGGGGUAGCAUGGGACAUGAUUAUAGCGGCUGCCACACGGUCAUGUUUGAGACCCCCUCCCACUUGGACCAUGUUUGAAACCACACCCCCCCCCACUUUCCUCCCACCAUGAAAGACGGACUCGUGUGGAGUUGAGAGGGGACCUGAGGGAUGUUUGGUUGUGUCACUUAAAAAAGGAGGAGGGUGAGAAGUAGGAACUGGGAACUGGGGACAGAAGCCAGGGAGCCCCAGAGCUAGGAGAAGUAGCAGGAGAAGGGCUGGGCCAGGCAGAGGGAUGAUUCUGGAAACGUGUUUCUGAUAAUGUUCCCUGCUGUUGGCACAUGGCAGGUACGGGCAGGUCGCAUUUAAAGGCCGGGGAUGGGGUGGACAAGUUCCAAAUUUCUUUCCAACAGAAAGUGUGUUGGCUUUAAUAUAGGAAGCUACGGACACGUAUUCAUCAUUAGUAGGCACUUUGAUACUUUUUCAAAUCUGCCUGGUCAUUUUUACAGUCUCUUGCUCUUGACUCCUUUUUAUUCCCUCUUUUAUUUCUUUGAACAUAUUUAACAAUUGUUUUACAGUCUAAAUCCCAAUGUCUGAAGUCUUUGUGGGCCUGAUCGUAUGGUGCGCUGUUUCGGCCGCUCUCGCUCGUGGUGAUGUGUUCCCCUUACGCGCCGAGGUUUUGACUAUGAGCCUCCACAGUGGGGAAUCCUGCGAUAAUUCUACACGGCCUGGGGUGAGGCACGAUCCUGCCAGGAGCAUCUGUGAUUGCUUCGGCCAGGCAUCAGGACAUACUCAUGCCAGACCGGGUCCACUCUAAAUUCACACGACCAUCUUGGGGGUUUAAGAGCGUGCUACCAGUGUCAUUUCAGACUCCCACAUCAUGCAAGGGUCAGCCAGUAGCUCGCAAAUCUCAGGGGACUUUUUUCUCCCCAAUUACCCCAAAUCAAGGCUGACACAGACACUUUUCCUUGUUUGUUUUUUUUUUAUUGAUCACCCUUUUCCUCAGGGUGUAGCCCUUCCUGAGUCCUGGCUUUAUGGGGACGGGCCUCCAGUUUGCCUCCCCGCCCUGCCUGAGUACAAGGAUUAGUGCUGUGUCACCCUCCCAUUGCUAGCACAAUUCUAUGCACAAGAGCUCUGGGCCACAGGACUGUGUCGAAUCCCCCAGAAUAUGUGACCAUUUCUUCUCACGUAUCCACUUGGACUGGGGUCUGGCUUCACUCCUGGCCUUAGGUUCCCCUUCCUUGAAGCCUCUGCCAUUGAUUGAAAAGCAUGUUUUUAAAGAUUUUUUCUAACAUUUUGAUACGUUUCCCAGGCAGAGAGCCUCAGAGCAGCCUCAGCAUCACCUGGGAACUCGUCAGAGAUGCAGAAUUUCAGGCUCCACCGAGAGCCACAGAAUCUGAAUCAGCAUGUUUACAAGACCCCACGUGACUUCAGUAGGUUGAGAAGUGUGGCUUUGCUUUACCACGUCGUUACCCGAAACGGAAGAGGGAGAGGUGCUUUGGGAUUUUUUUGUUUGAGGUUUUUUUUUUUAACUUUUUUUAUUGAAGUAUAAUUGACAUGUAGCAUUACGUUAGUUUCAGGUGUACAACAUGAUGAUUCAAUAUUUGUGUAUAUUGAGAAAUGAUCACCACAAUAAGUCUAGUUAACAUCCAUCACUGCACAUAGGUACACAUUUUUUUUCUUGUGGUGAGGACUUUAAAUAUCUACUCUCAUAGCAACUUCCAAAUAUGCAAGACGGUGUUAUUAAUGACAGUCGCACGCUGUACGUGACCAGGAUAGCACUUCACCUGGAUACUCUAGUGUAGGGACAAAAGGAAACGGUUCCUUUCCCCUCCACCUGUUUCUCCCCGGGUCCAGUGGCUCAAAUGGAGAGAAAGGCUAGGAUUAGUAGUGACAUCUCUGUCAGCCACUGCCCUUCCCAGCCCCGCAGAGACCCUGAACUGGCAGACUCAGCCCUGGGCAGUUCCCAAGCUAGGCGUGACCCCCAGGGGGAGGGCUCAGGUCCCAGUGCUUCCUAGCCUGAGUUUUCUUCUCCCACCCGCUCCCUUCCUUACGCAGUCCCCAUCUACAUGACAGACCUUCUGCCUUAGUUUCCCUGCUCUGAACAGAAGCUGUAGCUGGCCCUGAACCCCAGCCCUGAUCCCAUCUACUCUCAGGAAGGGCCAGAACUUGUCACCAUACUUCUCUCUGCAGCCAGGAGCCUUCUCUCUGGAAACCCUCAGCUACCAGCCACUCAUGCCUUAGUGUAUUUAAAGAAACUUCGUAGGAGUCAGAGACACGACUAGACUCUUCUCUGGCCGGGAGUGCACCUGUCUGGUUACUGGUGCAGUUUUCAUCCGUGUGUAGAAGAUUCCCAUGGGUGUCCACAGCACAACAAAGACAAAGGACUUUGUCCCUCUAUAUUCAAGGGUCUAUUUCCCUGGGAAAGUGAGUGAACAAAGGAAGCAGUCCAGAGCCCAGUUUUAGGAACCAUAAAAUUAAAUAAGACUACUUUAAAUUCCAUGUAAUCAAAUGUCCAUUGUCCUGCUUGAGCCUGGUCUUGUGUGAACUCCAUCAUGUACUCAACAUCCCUGACCCUUUCAAUAUGGCUGCCCCUUAUUGAGCGCUCGCGCUGAGCCAGACGCUGGGCUCAGUGCUUGAUGGGCGUCAUCUUGUUUAAUCCCCACGACAUCCCUGUGCAGAGAUGAGAUGAGUGCGGCUCAGGGAUGCCUGUGCAGAGGUGAGAUGAUGAGACUUCGGUCACUCCCCUGUCCACAGUCACAGGGCUGGUAAAUGGUAGAGUUCGGAUUAGAACCCAGGGCUUUGACACAAAGCCCAUUCUCUUUCUGCUCCUCUGUGUGCAGCACCCAGCUAAGUGCCUGGAACAAAGCAGGCCCUCAAGAAAUGUUUUAAAAUGAAUGAAUGUUUCCAUGUACAGACUACUGUUUAUUGAAUGCCUCCCUUGUUAGUUCAAAUCCUAGCAACAAUCCGGAAAGGGGCUGAUGAUUCCUAUCUGUUUUAAAGAUAAGCACCCUAAGCUUCAGAGAAGUUAAGUAAAUUUCCCAAAGUCAUGGAGUCAAGGAGUCGUUGAGCUGCGAUUUGAAUUCAAGCCUUUCUUUCUGAUGCCUAAAGCCGUGCACUGUUGUCAGUCCCAUCCACCCCUCUAAAAUGGGGAAUUUAAUCUUGGGAAGGGAUGUCUCAGGAUUGACAUGUUACCAGUGGUGUUGGAGAGGGACGUAACUGUCCCUGUGCCUCCAGGGGACAGACCCUGGAGCAGUGAGUGAGAAUUAAAUGGAGGCAGAUGGUGGCUGGAGAUAUGGAACAACUUUUAGCAAGUGUCUGACAAAGUGAGGGAGUGAGCACCCCGUCACUAGGGGUGUUGGAUGGCUGUCUCUGAGAGGGCCCAAAGGUUGACGGAGGGUGACUUCCAAGUUCCCUUUGGCUCUGAGAGUCCCGCGGCGCUGUCAUUUUCUCGGUCAGCCCUGGAAACCCCUGGAGAGGAUGACUCAGAGCCAUCCCCUCUGAGCGGGGUAGUUCAGAAGAACACAAUGCUGCUUAUUCUAGCUUCUGGGAGGUAUUUGGAAAAGUCUUGGUUGACAAGGAAGUCAUUGGGGAAUUGACAACUCUCGGAUCAGCUUCUUUCUUCCUUUGCUGGCCGCACCCAGUCACCUUUCAUGGGGGCCCGGUUCUUUUGACACACACCAAGUAGAGAAUGUGACCUAGCAGGUUCCGAUCUUGGGACUCAGCUGGGAAAAAAUGGAAAUCUCAAAUAAAUGGAACCCAUUAUGAUUUACAAUUGAAUCUCAAAGGGCUGGUCCCCUAAAAUGCCCUCUUCCAACCAAAUAAUCUGAGCUCAGAGCUGUGAAUGCCCCGAACUGUCCUUCGAAGACAAGUCCCAAUGUGUAUUGUCCCCUACCUGCCAAGUGUGCCAAGUCGGUUUUCCUGAAGUCCACGGGCCUGGGACCUCUAGCCGCCUGCUUUAUCACACUGAAAAUCUUCUAAACUAUGAAUAGUAACAGUAACGACUUAUAUUUGUACAGAAGGUUGCAAUUGACUGAGUACUUCUAUGUCAUCCCCGUUCUAGCCUCCGAAGACCCCACGUGAGAGGUAAAGUGCAAAGUGUCAUCCCCAUUAUUCAGACCAGGAACACGAGGGUCUGAAGAUGGAGAGAUUCAGGGAUUUGAUCAAAGGCACAUAGUUUCCAGGGUGCAGAUCCAGGACCUGAAUCUACAUUUCUUGAUUCCAAAUUCAGCUACAGCUACUGACUGUGCUUUUGGGGGAGAUCCUUUGACUUCCUGCAUCAGUGCAGCCUCUGGGAAUAAAUAAUUUUAUAUGAGGAGAAGAGUUUAGUUUUCCUAAACUUGGAAGCGAAAAUGCUUCAGUGGAUCAUCUUAGGCUACAGCUGUCCCAGAUGCCCUCCAUGGCUCCUCUCUGGUAUCACAGCAGAAAAUCCUUUGGGGGCUCCAUUGUGGUUAUGAAAAUGUUCACGCCUCUUUUCACAAGAGAAGGCAGUGUUGUGUAGUGGCUGAGAGCAUGGGUUCAAGUUCUGCCUCCUGUUCAGCUGUGUGGCCUUGGACAAGUUAACUAACCUCCCUGAACCUCAAUUUUGCAUGGCCAACUUCUGGGGAUGUGGUCAUGAUCAAAGGAGAUAGAGUGCUGGAGAGCAUAGCACAGUGUUCAUUUCAUAGUAGAUGCUCCUGAAACACGGACUGCACAUGGGUAUAUAAAGCAAGGGCUGAAGGCCAAACACUCGCACUGCCAAGACUCAUUCUUCCAGCACAUACCAGGUGCUUGCUCCUUGGCUCCUUGAGGCAACCCUACAAGGCCGGUGUUAUUAUUCCCAUUUUACACACACGGAAACUGAGGCUUACUUGCCAGCUACUGUCUUCCAUGUGUGUCAGAGCUAGGAUUUGAACUCAGCUCUGUCUGACUCUGAUUCCAAUGCUCCACUGUGCGGCAGAAGGUCACUAGUAUGUAGAGAUUGGAUAGCGUGCAUUACUGAUCAGGAGUGGUGGCAGGAACCUCCAAAAUGGGGUGUCCAAGGACUGGCCCUCCAGAGCUGUCUCUGUCACACUUGCUCUGCAACUGUGAGCCAGGCACAUCAUCUCUCUGGGCCUCACUAGCUUCAUCUGUGGACCAAGGAGGUUGGACGAUAGUCUUGGAGACUCUUUCCGGCUCUGACCUGCUGCGACGCUCCUCAGAUUUCAGAAGGACUCCGGUACCUGAUCCUGCAAUGGAGGGAGCGUAACAGUGGGCCCUGAAUCUCAAAUCCGUUUUGCCUUUUGAAGCCAUGUGUUUCUGCGUGAAUUCAGAAUCUGCCAGAGGAAAACUCCCUAAUUAUCCUACGGGGACUAGCCCAGCCAGUAAUUACGCCUAUUAUUUUAAAUUGUAUUUUAUAAGAUGCCUUUCAUCCAAGAUCUCAAAGGGCUUCUCAAACAUUCAUUAGAGGAACCCCACCCCCUCCUGUGUGGAUAUGAAAGGCAGAGACUGAUUUUAAUAUCAGCAAGAAGAGGUCGGGGCAGAGAGAAGGGGACUGAGAUCCCAGGAGUAAUUUCACCUCUGAGUUCAAAGGAGAAAAGAAAGAAAUACGCCAGGGAAAUGUUCGCCUUCAGAAGGAGUUCAGGGGCUAUUCAGUGAAGAGCAGACGGAUCAGGAAAUGUUCCUCCUUGUCAAAAGGAGCCUACGAGAGGCACUCUCCUUCAGUGGGGCUCAGUUCAAUUUGGCUUGCUUCAUUUCACUCUAGAAUUAUCCACCAGUUGUCUUUGGAGCUGAUCUCCAGCUCACAGGCCUGUGCGAAGUGAUGUGAAAGGUGUAAGUGGAUCAAGGGUUUCAGAGAGCACUCAUUAUAGACUUGGGAACAUUAGUGUAAGCGGGAGGGCACAGGAACCUCCCAGGAGGGCCCUGAUGGCUGCCUUAAACAAAUGGCUGAAGCCAAGGCUAAGAGGCCCCCCCAUGUAGCCAGUGGCUGCCCCAACACCUCCCUGGCGGUAGGCGGAGGGAAAUGAAUCUGGGUCAAUAUGCUAAGUCCAGGGACUUGAUUAACAAACGACCUAGAAGGACCAUUUUGAGUAGCUCAUCAUGAGGGCCGCUUUUCUCCUUCCCUCCUCCCUGUCCUGCGUGAUACUUGUCCCAAGUUCCUUUCCUCUCCAUUCCAAUGGAUGGAUAGAAGUGAUCACUAUGUAGCAUGAGAAGCUUCAGUCUCCCAGGGCUGGGCAAGGGGCCAGCAGUCUUUCCUGCUGGUCUGUGAGCUCGUGGAGGACAGACUCUGCCUGCCUGUUCACCGUGUUCCCCAGCACGUGUUCUGGCCAGAGUGGUGGAUGCUCAGAACAUAUUCAUUGACUAAAGGAGCAGAUCACCAGCUGCCACUCUAAUUCUGGCCUUGCAAGAUGGUCUGAUGCAGGCCGGAGAAGGAUCCUUUCCUUCCUCAGCUUGGAGACGACUAGAUUCAAAGGACAACCAGGGCCACACAGCUCCAGCGACUUCAGAAGCUAAAGACAGAAGUCAUGUUAAGCUGGGGGUGAGGGUCCCAAUGACGUGGUGACUGAGGACCCCAGGAUGAGAUGGUGGGGGAAGCAAGGCAUGUGGUCUGAAGUAGCGAAAGGGAGGACUGUCCUGGGUACUGGGAGCAUGGGGUCCUUCAGGAAGAAGGUUGGGACCUACGGGGUAAGGCUCCCAACCAUUCACUGAUGGGGGCUCCCAGGGCCCAUGACUGGUACUCAGGGCAAUACAGCCUGAAGGGAUGCGAGUGACAGGAGAGGAGGACGAGGCGCGGCCUUGCCCACAAGGAGCCGGGAGUUUUGUUGUGGAGAUUAGAUUUACACACAGAGCGAUUAGAGAACAACGCAAGCAGAUCUGUCACUGACUAGAUUGGGAGUUUCCUGUUUGGAGAGAGAGGGUCUUACUCAUUGCAGUGUUUCUUGUCGGGCCUGACAGAGGUCCAGGCACUUUCUCUGCUCCAGAUACACUUGAUGAUCAGCUGUCGCAUUGGAUGGUGUGAAAAGUCAAUGGUCCAGAUUAGAAAAGGGAGGAAUCUGGAGGCCGAGAUGUGGGAGAAGGCUUCAAGAGAGAGGAGGAGCUGUGGUGGCUGCUAAUAAACGCCCAGGGAAAAGUGUUCCCCACUACCUUGUCAAGGCUUUCAUGGCAUGAGAAACUGUGAGCCACUUAGAUGAAGGUUUCUGUCACUUGUAACUGAAAAAUUCCUGGCUCAUAUGCCCAGCUGGUGAGUGAUAUCGUGAGCCAGAUCCUGGACCUCCUCAUCCAUCAUCCAUCCAUCGAUCAUCCAUCCAUCUAUCCAAACUUCCAUCCAUCCAUCUAUCCACCCACCCAUCCAUCCAUCUAUCCAUCCAUCCAUCUACCCAUUCAUCCAUCCAUCCAUCCAAUAUACAUACAUUUAAUGAAUAAAGCAGUUGCUCAAUACAUAGUUUUGAAUGAAUUGAUGAAUAGCUAAUUUGUCAUGAUGUAUUUGAUGACAAAGAUACAUCCACCUCCCUUUAAUCCUGGUGGAGAUUGGUCAACAAAGGGCAAACCAAGUUCCGAACUCAUAACUUGGAACUCAGUCAAGGACUCAGCCUCCAAGGCAAUACUGAGUUUCAUCAGUAUCAUCAGCACACAGCCAGACGUGACCCUUGCUUUGCUAAACGUGAUUCAGUCAUGCUGGUGCCACAGCCCAAAAAGGAGGGUCCAGAACGUCAUUGACAAGUAUGUGGGUUUUCCUGUUGAAGCCAAUGCCAAUACUGUGAGCUCUGCCGUGAAAUAAGUGUGAGUUGUCAAGGAAGACUUAUUUGCUCUACCCUCGUUUUCGCUCCUUGUACCACAGUGGCCGUGUUAAAUGCAGAGCUGCCUGAGAACCAUGGAGACAAGUGCCACCUCUUUCAGGAUGACUUUGUAACCACCCACGAGUCAGAGCACAUACGAGUAAACCAGUCAUCUCUCUCAAACUCUUGCUUUUCCAAUGAAAACUGCAACUCACAGAGCAGAAAGGAUGUGCCCAACGAUACAUAGAGAAUUACAAGGAGAGACGAGAUCCAGAUUCUGGACUCCUAAUCUGGUGCUUUUCCUACUAUGCCACUCUCCCUCCUUGAGCCACUUUCCAAAACAGGUGGAGUUUGUUUCAAAGGACUCCUUUCCUCUUUGAUCAGUUACUGGUAUUGGUAGGUCGGGGAAUACUGCAGGCACCAGACUGCGUUUCAAAGACAUUCUUCACAUUGUCUGCCAUCAUCUGCUUGUGGGCCACGUGGCACAAUAAGGAUGCAUGGACAGAGUAGUCACAGAAUUGGUGGGAGGUGACCUUAAAAGUUACCUUGCCCCUCCUGAUGUUUAGAUUCCCUCUACAGCACCUGGUGAUACACUUGUCAGACUUGCAGGUGGCAGAGAAUGGGGUAAAAAGAGCUGACCUCUCGGUGCCCUCUCUCUCCUGACUCCUCCAGGACAUAAAUCCAUCUAUUGCCUCUUCUCUCACUUUCCAACAUCUUCAGGCUCUUCCUUCACUCUUUCCUCUGGGUCAGCAAAUAUUUUGGGUCUCCUUCUCUUAAAGCAAAUAAACCCGUAAAAAACCAAUGAUUCUUUUUUCCAUUUUGCUGCGUGCCUAGCAACCUUCUUACCUUUUUCUUUUCCCUCACCUAAUUUCUUGACUCAUUGAAGCCUGCUGUCCACACUUCUUCAUGAUCCAGCCAUUCCUGAACUUUUGGGAGCCUGUCUUCUCUCAGAAGUCACCAAAGACCUCCUAAUUAUGAAAUCGGGUGUCUUUUUUUCAGCCUUAAAUUUUCUUGUUUCCUUUGUAUUAUUUGAGAUGUUGGUCACCUGGUACUCGAUCUCUCUUGAUAGGAGGGGUGUUGCCCUGAUUCUCUUUCUUCCCCUUGGGCCUCACUUCUGAUUGUAUCUCUGUUUUCACUUCCUUGUCUCACUUGUUUUAAGUAUCUCCCCUGGAGACCUUGUCCAUCCAUUGAUGGCUCUGCCCAUUCAACACCUAAUAGGGUGCAAGGUAUUGUGCCAGGAACUGGAGAUUCAGAAGUAACUCACAAGCGUUCUUGACCUCAGUGAGCUUAUUUUCUAUUGACAGAGCUAGAUAAGUUCAUCUCAACAUCGUGUGAUGACGAAUAAUGGAGCAAAUACUUCACAGAUUCAAGGAAAUGAACUGAGAGCAGAAAAGGACCUUGAAGAUCACCUUGUCCAAUUCUCACAUUUUACAGAAGAGGAAACUGAGGCAUAGCGAGAGGAAGCCGGUUGCCCAUAGUCCUACAGAGAGUUGGUAGCAUAGCUAAGAGUGGACCUGAUGUCUCUUCAAAUUCAUGCUUGUCAGAGAAUGGCCAAAGAUGACUUUUCUAGCAAAGUAGGAAGUUAUUGGGAUGCAAAAGAGUAUUUGGAGUCUGCUCAGAGAUACAAAUGCAAAUUUCGCUGAGUUCUUUCUGCAACCAAAGACACAUCUUUGGAACUUGUAUUUCCUUCAAAUACUCCUGCAAAAAGUCAUAUCGUAGAGAUCCUAGAAUUGGAGCUUCUUUAUGGAAAAGAAGAAAAACAAUACUUACUGAACACUUAAUAUGAGUUAUAAAACUGAGGCCCAGAAGUUAAGUGACUCAUGUCAAUCUUGAAACAAAACCAGGAUUGGAACUCAGAUUUCCUGUCCCUAGUCUAUUGUUCUCUUCAUGAGGUCAAGAGCCAUAAACUGCCUGAGCUGGAAUUCUGGGCUAUCACCUGCCCAGGGCAGAGAGGCAAAUGCUUGGCUGUGAGCGUUCUGAGUGUGGGAGCCCCUGAAAAUCCACUGUGUGCAUUUGCAUAAGAAGCUACCCUCAUCUUUAUCCCUGGACAGAGCCAGUGACAUGGGCAUGCAAUUGCUGAAGCUGCAUAGAACUCUGUGCAGAGAAGGGCCCUAUCCUUGGUGCUUGGUUUGAUGCUGCCAUCUUGAAAUUUUUAAUACUCUAUGAACAAGGGGCCCACACAUUAUAUAGUCAGUUCUGCUCCAGAUGACAGCUUUUGUUGUUGCUACUCAAAGCACUUCCCAGGUCACUCCUUUGAAUAGUUCACUGCUCUCCCUGACCUUAUGCCCCUAGGAAGGGCUAUUGGAAAGUCUCCUGAAGAUGAGCCAGAACUAGACCACCGGGUACUUCUCUGGACAACUUCCUGGGAGAGUUUAUCCUCCCCGGACAUCACGGAGCUCUAUUCUUCCAGGUCACAGCAGAGUGUAGGAUUCAUCACCUAGCUUCACCAGACUCAAGAAACCAAACCGCCCACUGCUUUAAUCAUCUCCUUCUCUGGUUCAGGAGCCCUUGGCAGCGGCCUGCCUAGAGGAGAGGCCAGCCUCUAUCGCUGGCACCCAAUAUAGUUCCAACCUCCCUUUGCAGCAUUUUCUCUCAGCGUUCGUAUAUACUGAGCCUCUGGUCUGACCACAGUGUCUUCUUUUCCUUCCCUGGGUCCCCCUUCGAUACUCUGGCUUCUGCAUGCUUCCUUUUCCAUCCCAGUGCACGGCCUGAUUCUUCUCACCAGCUGAUAUUCCCUCCGGCUUUCAUGGCCCAGCUGUGGCCCCAUCUCCUUUGCAAAGCAACUUCUCUGACCACAAUUCUAUAUCCUGUUUCCCAACAAGGCUGCGCAGUUCCUGAAGACGGAGCCGGUGUCCACCUCUGUUUUCCUCUUUGGAAGCCACAUGCCCCACAGUGGUCAGUGAGCAGGUGCUGGUGCCUUGGUUCUCACCGGAGGAGAAAAGGCAGGAAAUCCAUUUCCUGGUGAAACUGGGUCACGUGUUUUCAGACCCAGGUUGCCUGCUGUUGGAAGUGAGUCAGUGAGGGCCUCGUCAAACCUGUUUCCCCAGCGGAGACUCCGGGGCCCAGGCCUGUCCCCAGUGCCCGGGGUGACCACAGAUCUCACUGGGGGCUGAGCCUCAAACGUUGGGGGAAGGGAGGCAGCUUCCUGACAAGGGCAGACGUGUAUGGGGAUGCUGGGGGUAGGAUGUCAGCCUCCAGAAGGGGAUGCUUACCGUUUUCUGGCUGAUCAGACUCUCCAGAGGUCGGGCACCACAUGAUUAAAUUAAAUGUAGGAGGUGGAAGGACUACCAGGAAGAGGAAGGAAAUGCCAAAUGGGAAGUGGCUGUAGGAACUACAGGUGAGUAAGUUGAAAAGAAAGCUUGAGAGAAUGUGACCCACAUCUUGAAAAUGGUCAAAGGGCUGCCGUCAACUAGCAGAAGUAGACUCAUUCUGUGCGCUUCCUCAAGGCUGAAGGUGGACCAAGGCAGGGCAGUUACAGGAGGCCGGAGUUCUGCCCACGCAGGCUGUCAGACAAGGAAAGGUCACCAGCAGAGGGAAUAAUAAGCUGGCUCUUCCUCGUUAGGAAUAUCUACAUGAAGUUUCCAACCUCAGCUGAUCCGUCAACUCAGCCCCUCACUUCUGUCUUUCUGCACAGCUCUGUCCCCCCAUUUCUCAAAGCCAUCUUUAAAACCUCAUCUGCGCUCCCUAAUCCUCAGGUCCUACUCUGAUGUAAAUACAUCAACCAUCCUGGUCCCAUCAGCUCGCGAUGGUCUCCUAACCGAUGCCCCAGCCAGCUGCCUAGAUUCCCACCCAUCUGCCUCCAUGUUGCCGGAGUGAGAUUUCUAAAAUACCAAUGUGGAUCUCUUCAGUCCUGCUCAGACCCCUCCAGUGGCUUCCUGGUGUCCUCAUGAAAUGGCUGAAUUCCUUACUGUGACAUUCAAGGCCCUUCAUGGUCUGACCUGGGCAGCCUCAGCCUUGCCCUUUCUCCUUGCACCUUACACACUAGCAAUACUGGAUGCUUUAGAUCUGUGCCCCACCACCCUCACUCCCAUCUCUGGGCCUUUGCAUGUGCUGUUGCCCCUCACCUGGAAGACUCUUCUUUCUUACUACCACCCCCACCCCACCCAUUCCACUCCACCUGGCUCUCUGCUAUUCAUCUGUUAGGUCUCUGGUGCAGUGUCGCGUCUUCCAGGAAACACUGAUGGGUUCCCCAAGUCUGGGUUAGUUUUCCAUGCCAUAGAUUCCCUCUGAAUCCUAUCACUAGCUUUUGGCAUUAGGUGUUGUGUGUGUGUAUCUCGACUAGUUCCUAACACAUGGGAGCUGCUCAAUGUGUAUUUGUUGAAUGAAAGAUUGUCCUUCUUUACAAGAGGCUACAGAAGGGAUUCCCGCUAUGGACCUUUUCCACCUCUGGGACCAUAUUUCCAUAGGACACACGCUUUCCUACCCUCAAGAAGGAUAUGUUACCAUGUGCAACAGGAGCUUCCAAUGUUUACUUCCUGCUUCAAACAGAAAUUCGCUCCAGGCAGCAAUGCAGGGGCGGCAGGAGUCUCCUCAGGGACCGGUACGAAUGGAAUCUGGUUGCACAAUAUGAUUAUAGAAGGAAGACUCACUGGUGGAGUGUUUGGUUUCCACAGCAUCGAGCUCACUCUAGAUACACAGUGGCGAGGGGUGGGGUUGAUUUCCUGCAAGGGACUGUUCAGACGUCCUGCCUCCCUGGGUGUCACCUUACUUCUGUGACUCCUGAAGAACCCGGUGCUGUUGUCUCACUUGGUAGAAAGAACAGGACAUCAAUAGGCAAAAAAAUGAAGCUUGUUCUACAUCUCACAACUUAUACGAGAAUAAACUCCAAAUGGAUCAUAGAUCUAAACGUAAAAUGUAUAACCCUAAGUCUUUUAGAAGGGAAAUAGGAGAAAAUCAUCACAAUCUAAAGUUAGGAGAAGAUUCUUAGACAUCACACCAAAAGCGCAAUCCAUAAAAGAAGAGAAGAAACUGCUUGGACUUCAUUAAAAUUAAAAACUUUUGCUCUGUGAAAGACUCAGUUAAGAGAGAAAAUGCUAAGUACCAUCUGGGAGAAAAUACUUGCAAAUUAUGUCUGACAAAACACUUGUUGUCAGAAUAAAGAGCUCUCUAAACUCAACAGUAAGAAAACAAACAAUCCAAUUAGAAAAUGAGGGGGCCGGCUCCGUGGCCGAGUGGUUAAGUGCGCGCGCUCCGCUGCGGCGGCCCAGGGUUCGGAUCCUGGGCGCGGACAUGGCACUGCUCGUCAGGCCACGUUGAGGCGGCGUCCCACAUCCCACAACUAGAAGGACCUGCAACUCAGAUAUACAACUGUGUAUGGGGUGGCGGGGGUGGUGGUUGGGAAGAUAAAGCAGAAAAAAAAAAAAAAAAAGAUUGGCAACAGUUGUUAGCCCAGGUGCCAAUCUUUAGGGAAAAAAAAGAAAAAAAAAGAAAAUGAGGAAAAGACUUGAACACUUCACGAAAGAAGAUAUACAGAAGGCAAAUAAAUAUGUGAAAAGAUCUCCAACAUCACUAGUUUUUAGGGAAAUGCAAAGUAAAACCACAGUGAGAUACCAUUAUGCACCUAAUAGAACGGCUAAAAUAAAAAUACUGAUAAAGCCAGUGCUGGCAAGGAUGUGGAGAAACUGGACCUUGCACAUGGUCUUGGUGGGCACAUAAAAUGGUACAGCCACUCUGGAAAUCUGUCUGGCAACUUCUCAAAAAGUUAAACACAUACUUGCUGUAUGAUCCAUGAAUCUCAAUCCUGGGCAUUUAAGUCAGAGAAAUGAAAACUUACAUUUACACGAAACGUUCACAGCACAGUUCACACAAAAUGUCCUGUACACAAAUGUCCACAGCAGCUCUAUUUGCAGUAGCCUGAAACUGGAAACAACCCAAGUGUCCUUCAGUAGGUGGAGGUCAGACAAACCAUGGUACUUCCAUACCGUGGAACACUACCCAGAAAUAAACAGGAAUGAAUUAUCGAUACGUGCGACAAUUUGGACGUAUCUUAAGGGUGUUAUGCUAAGUGAAAAAAUUUGUGAUACAUUACUUGUGAUAAUUUUAUUUGUGAUACAUUCUCAAAUUGACAAAAAUAUAGAGGUGAAGAAGAGAUAAGUGGUGCCAAUGGCUUGGG
Molecule: long non-coding RNA, 16293 nt
Filed under: Equus caballus (horse)
Lineage: Eukaryota; Metazoa; Chordata; Mammalia; Perissodactyla; Equidae
Description: lncRNA (ENSECAG00000057794.1)
Source: RNAcentral